AAAGUACCCCGCUUACACCGGGAUUAUAUCUAUUAAACUUAGAUUAUUUUGAG
Molecule: transfer RNA, 53 nt
Filed under: Amolops marmoratus (marbled sucker frog)
Lineage: Eukaryota; Metazoa; Chordata; Amphibia; Anura; Ranidae
Description: partial tRNA-Val
Source: RNAcentral